UAGAUUCUUUUUUAUUGUUGAAAAAAUUAAAAACAAAUUGUUUUUUACAAUAAUUAAAAUUUAUAAUAUUUCAAUUUUUAAUUUUUAGUUUUAAAUAAAAAUUACAAAUAUGAAAAAUAAAAAAAUUUUGUUAUAAAUUAAAUUAAUUUAUUUAUAUUAAAAAUAUUUUUUAUAAUUGUUAUUUUUUUAUUUUUUUAAAAAAAAAAUAAUUUAAUUAUAAUUAUUUAUUUAAAUUUAAUAAUUAAAUAUAAAAUUUUUUAUUAAAUAAAUUUAAUAAUAAAUGUUUUUU
Molecule: ribosomal RNA, 289 nt
Filed under: Meloidogyne floridensis
Lineage: Eukaryota; Metazoa; Nematoda; Chromadorea; Rhabditida; Meloidogynidae
Description: partial 16S ribosomal RNA
Source: RNAcentral